UACGGAGGAUGCAAGCGUUAUCCGGAUUUAUUGGGUUUAAAGGGUGCGCAGGCGGGAGAUUAAGUCGGCAGUGAAAUUUUGCAGCUCAACUGUAAAAGUGCCUUCGAAACUGGUUUCCUUGAGUGUGGAUGAAGUAGGCGGAAUUUGUGGUGUAGCGGUGAAAUGCAUAGAUAUCACGAGGAACUCCGAUUGCGCAGGCAGCUUACUAAGCCAUAACUGACGCUCAAGCACGAAGGCGUGGGGAUCAAACAGGAUUAGA
This 259-nucleotide ribosomal RNA is filed under the name uncultured prokaryote. RNAcentral describes it as "partial 16S ribosomal RNA". It matches the Rfam family "Bacterial small subunit ribosomal RNA", at positions 524 to 782 of the family's 1533-position model. The record is from RNAcentral.